CUCAGGUAAUAGCCAUACGGCUAUUUUAUCUCCAAAAGAUAAUGUUGGUGUAUGGAAAUUAUAGUCAUCCACAUCAUGCCACUGUCACAUUUUGCUUCGAUACUCAGCCACCGGUAGGCCCAAAGUUUGUAGAAUAAUAUCCAACAUCAUCCUGUGAGGUAUUUUCAUCAUCGGUGGAGCACCCUGUAGGCCAAUAACCAAGCUCGCCAUAAUCCGCUGACAGAUGCAAAUUGCAUUGACACAAACUGGAGCCCACGCAAGUGC
This is a long non-coding RNA of Triticum aestivum (bread wheat), 264 nucleotides long. RefSeq lists it as uncharacterized. NCBI's taxonomy places the organism in Eukaryota, Viridiplantae, Streptophyta, Magnoliopsida, Poales, Poaceae. The record is from RefSeq and is a predicted model, not a curated record. The transcript has 2 exons.